RNAcentral lists this long non-coding RNA (202 nucleotides) under Gossypium raimondii (Peruvian cotton). RNAcentral's name for it is "long non-coding RNA (GRAI_LNC003927)". The record is from RNAcentral. Lineage: Eukaryota; Viridiplantae; Streptophyta; Magnoliopsida; Malvales; Malvaceae.
CAAAAAAAGAUAAUCAGAUUAUUUUCUGAUAACCUCUCCCCCAUUAUCUCUUAAAAUCACUCCCUAUUAACCCACUAAAACAUAACUACUCAGAAUUUUGCCCCAACACAAAUCUUAGCCGAAAUUGGAGCAAAAAUAUUGUCUUUACGCCAUCAAAAAAAAUUGAACACAGGACCUCAUUCACACCAACACUCCACUUAUC